CUUUUCCCAACCCCGCUCCCCCUCCUCCUCUUGACGCUCGGGGGUGUGAGAGAACCCAGUUAGACGCGAAAUGCAACAAUAGUCCGAGGAGAGAGAGGGGCGAUCGCUGCUUCUCGCCACUUUCAAACAAACCUGGGGGAAGACGGAGCUGGGGGGGAUUCUAGCCUGUUCGCUUGGCUCGCGAUCUCCCUGCCUCGGCCUUUCACCAUUAGUUCUCUCUGGGCCGCGAGGGGCUGGGGCUCAAAGUUAGCGGGCGAAGUCCGGGGCUGGUUCCGCGGAGACGGCUGGGGUAGCAUCCGGCCGGCUGCAGGGACGGGGCCCUCGAGUUGGCAGCGGCUGCGGAAAAGUGCCUGCCCCCCCAGCCCCCGCCCCCACUUACGUGCGGCGGAAUUCCGCCAGCGCCCCCGGAAAGUCCGGGGUGCCGGGCGCGCGGAGCUGCACUCUUGGGAUGUGCAUUAAGCGGCGACCGGCGGAGGGCGGGGGCGGGGGGCGGUCAGGGGGAGCUCGAGCGUGUGAAACUCUGCCUCGAAGCUCGCUUUUGACUUGGUCCUAUGAGCUGAGCCAACAUGGCGUCUCCCAUUGCACCGCGAGCGCCGGGCUGCCAGGCACGGCAGGGCCGGGUAAUAGAAAACACAUUGGUUACCCAAAAAGAAAAAAAGGGGGGGGGGGUGCUAAAGGCCAUUCCAUCUGCAGACAGAAAACCCUCUUUUAAACUCUUGCUGGCUAGUGAGUGCGGUCCUCGAUUAUUCUGUAAUUAAAGCAGUAGAAUUUGCAGGGAAAAUACUGGUAACGCAGCAUCCCCUUCUCUCUUCGCCCACCACCCCCCUUAUAAUCAGGAGAGUUUAUUUCAUGUCUCCUCUCCCAACAAGAACCAAAUCAGAAAAAGCAUAAGUCUGUAUCCUCAAACGAUCUCAAAUGUUUGAACGGUAUAGGGGGAGGGGGAGAGGCCAGUAUUUACAGACCUCGGUCGGGCAGUUCUCGCGCUCAUUAAGGCAGGGGCUGCGCCGGGUGUGCGGGGGGUUUGCGCCGCCGCCGGGCCGAGCUGGGGGUGGGGGCCGGGCUGCGGACCCGGUCGGACGUGGGCAGAACUUGCUGCCUGCGUGUCAAAGUUAUAGGAAAGGUGGCUUUCGGAGCGGAGGGCUGACUGAGGACGCACAGGGGCAGAGGGCUGGUUCUGGGCGGGUGGUCCCAGGCCCUAGAAAUGGGCGAGCCUGCGUGGACGGCGCCCCUGACAGGAGCGCGCCUGCAGCGGAGGCUCCCCUUUCUCUUAUAGGUUUCAGAGUAGGCGAGGCCGACCAUGGGACAGACCUGGCCUCCCAGAGAGGGUCUUCCGAGGGCCUCUGGAGAGGCCGUGGAUUGGCCCAGGCCGAGCUCUCAGCAGUCGGGGGAAUUGCCCCUUCCGUCCAAUUCCAGCCUCAGCCCGGGCCUGGAGACCCCUACCCUCUGCCGCCUGGGAGGGGACUCUGAAUUCCCGGCCUCGUCAAGAUUUAUUGAAGUUGGGUUUAAAAAACGUGCUUCAGAUGAUUUUUCCCAUUUUCUCAGAUUUCAAAGGCUCCCUGCAGUGCGGCUGCCUAAUUAAUGGUGAAAUUCAACUAAAUCUAAUUAUGCAGUAAUUUUAAAGCAGUUAGUGCUGGGCGUUGGUUUGUAAUAGGACCCCAGUUUUUUAAAGUUUGCUUACUGUGUUGGUUUAGGGGAAAGCCAUCUUUUGUAUGGCAGAGAAAGACGGGGAAAUAGUUUUGCUGCGAGAACCAGCCGGCUGAGGACCGCCCCCCCCCCCCAUCUCCAUCCCCACUUCUAUCUCCUUUCCCUUCUCCCUCUCUUUUGCUCUUCCAAGCUCACGCUCAAAAGCUGAGCGAGGUGCUAACCCAGCAAGGAGACCCAGUUGCAUAGCCAAAGGGGAAAGGGAGAAUUUUUCAUAAAGAGACACAAAGAGGCUUGGUAUCUGCUCUCCUGGACUUAUCUGUAAAUGUCCGAAAAUAGGGAGGGGACUCUCAUCUCCUCUAAUAGAGAACAGAUUUCCACCCUUAACAUCCAUUGUCAUUAAGGCGAAAAGCUGACUCUUGGAGUUAUAAAUCUUAUCGUCCUUCUGAUAACACACUUGUAAUAAGUUAGCGUCCUAUUCAAAGUGAAUUGUAAAACUGCCUCAUUUAAUAUGGCAUCUGUGUCAUUAAAACUUUUAUUUUUUUCCCCCCUCGCGUCUUGCAGGCCUGGCAUUCGGGCGAGCGCAGAGGUGCUUAUUGGACCUCUGGGGUAGGGCCAAGGGGGAGAAAGGUGUGAGGGAUGGGCUGCCGAGAUUGAGCCUCUGGAUCUUAGUCUGGAGUGAGAGACCCCUGAGGUAGAAAGGGCCUGGGUGGGGGGAGGCUGUGUCCCCCUUUCCCAACACCCCCCCCCCCCGUGGCCCCCUCGAAAUGACGUUCCUUGAAAGAAACAUGCUUGUGAUUAGCUAAGCAAACACAUCUGCUUUCGGAGUUGGGCCUUCGUUAAUUAGCUGAACAAAGGGCCGUUUUGCUUUUUACCUUUUGCUAGGGGAGAGUGUUAUUUCAGGAGUGUCGCGGGCCCUCCUCUUUUCAAUUGCAGCCACGACGUUAAUUUUAUUGGGAUUACUGAUGGGAAAUGAGGUGGCGCAGGCUUCCGAGAGGAAAAGCUUGAUCAUUACCCCCUUUGGAACUAUAUUUUUCCACCCAACCUCCUGCUCGCGAGGAGGGGGCGGGGGGCGAACCGCGCAGCAAGUUCGGAGCAAUUGGAAUCAGGCUCGCGGUACGCUGAUCUCGGGUGACAGAGCGUGUGUUGAAGCUGAACUCUAUAAUUUGCGCUUCUGUUCCUUUAUUAGGCCUGGACAACGAACUAAUGAGCUUUGGCCCAGCACAGUGUCACUUGUAUUUAUUUUCUUAUGGCAACUUUGAGAUAGCGGAAGUGUUCCUUACCAAGAGCCAGGGAGGCCCAGGAGUCCUGACCGCUGCUGUCCCGGCCCGGGUCGGUGGCCGCAUCCCGGGGGAGGGAGGGCGCGCGCAGAACUGACGGAGUCUGGGGACUGGGCCUAUAGGCAAGGCCCUGGGGCGCUCAGGAAGGCGUUAGGCCCUUUGGAGGCCCAGGCCUUUCUGCAGGCCCAACUCCCUGAGGUUGAGGUCGAGGGGUGCAGGGCAAGCCCAAGCCCA
Equus caballus (horse) is the source of this 3155-nucleotide long non-coding RNA. The record is from Ensembl. NCBI's taxonomy places the organism in Eukaryota, Metazoa, Chordata, Mammalia, Perissodactyla, Equidae.